Molecule: transfer RNA, 76 nt
Filed under: Candidatus Kaiserbacteria bacterium CG_4_8_14_3_um_filter_38_9
Lineage: Bacteria; Candidatus Kaiseribacteriota
Description: tRNA-Val
Rfam family: tRNA
About the family: Transfer RNA (tRNA) molecules are approximately 80 nucleotides in length. Their secondary structure includes four short double-helical elements and three loops (D, anti-codon, and T loops).
Source: RNAcentral
GACCGAUUAGCUCAGAUGGUAGAGCGCUUCGUUGACAUCGAAGAGGCCAUAAGUUCAAUCCUUAUAUCGGUCACAA